AUGACGUUGAUAGGUCGGGUGUGUAAGUGUAGCGAUACAUUGAGCUAACCGAUACUAAUGAACCGUGAGGCUUAACCUU
This 79-nucleotide ribosomal RNA is filed under the name Citrobacter freundii. Its description in RNAcentral is "partial 23S ribosomal RNA". It matches the Rfam family "Bacterial large subunit ribosomal RNA", at positions 2847 to 2925 of the family's 2925-position model. Lineage: Bacteria; Pseudomonadati; Pseudomonadota; Gammaproteobacteria; Enterobacterales; Enterobacteriaceae. The record is from RNAcentral.